GGGUCUGCUGGGGGCAGGAGGGACUUGGGGCCAGGGUACAUUGCUGGGGAGGAGACAAGGGAUUUCUCACCUCCUGGGAAGCUGGGAAAUGGUGUGGGGUGUGGGUGAGUGGGAGAGGAUGGCCAGGGACAGCUUCAGGCCCGGAGUCCUACAGAGCCUGACACCUAGCAGAUGGGAAGAUGCAGCUCAAGUACCUCCUCCCAGAGCCAGGCUGAGGAGGCCACGUGGGCCCAGUAGACCCAGCCUCCGUUGGGCAGUGCUUCGAGAAAUCAUCAGGACUCAGUGAAAUGCAGAAAACCAGCAUAAGCGUGGAACCCUUUGCUCUUCAACCAGCCAAGCCCAGCGCCACCCAGCCCACGCAUUGUCUCCGGGCCAGGAUGAAGGCAUCACCAGACACACCUCGCAUUCAGCUGCAGCGCAGACACUCUUGCAGUUUCUGGUCUUCUCAUUUCUUGGAGAAUUCUCUUGGUAAGUCAAGGCCGUGGCUUUCUUAAGUGGCUUUUUGAGGGAGAAAGCAGGGACUGGGCUAAGAGGGCCACAGCACAGCUUUCUUUUCCCCUCACAGUCCGAGCCAUCAGCGGCCUCGUUGGGGACAACAGAAGGCAUUCUGGGAACGCGGCGUUCUCACAUCCUGCAAAGUACAGGCCGGCGAAGCAGAUGGCAGGGACUUCAAAAGCAUAAGUAACCUUGAAAGAUUACAGCGCAAAGGGCAGUGGAGGGUGUGGGGGGGCUUUUGUACCCUUUGACAAGAAGAAAGCAGGAAAGACAAAAGCUAUUUGCCAGCCUGAUGCAGGAGUCAAUAGAAUUGAUGGUUCUGCUGCAGUUUCCAUCGAGGGUGGCCAAGCCGCCUGUCUUCUUGUCCAAAAACAAACAGCGUCAACCACCUGCCAAACUGUUUCCUGCCUCCUGCUCUGGGGUCUUUUCCUUUUCUUUUUUCACACAGGAUUUUCAUCCUCUGUCCAGGUAGCUGAGCCCUGAUGAUCUCUCUUCCCCUUCACCACCCCCAACUCACCUCCUAAUGGAGCCCCACCCCUCCAGCCCCGGGGCCUGAAAGGCCAGUUCUCCCCCUCCUCCUCCCCUCAGCCCCCCACAACUCCAGGCAGGGUUGCCAUAGGGCAUAUCCGGUUUCCUCUAAGCAUGAAGCCUUCAGCCGGAGGAGGAAGGGGAGUUCAUGUCACAUCUCCACAUUUAGUCAUGGGCUGCUCCGUUGGCCUUUUGCACUUUUUUGUGGAUGGGUAAACUGAGGUACACAGUGAUCAGCUCACUUGCACAGGAUCACAGAGGCACUGGCAGGGUGGCAGGGAUGCUGAAUUCACCUCUGGUGAGAGCCAGGGACAGCAGCAGGUGGGGCGCCAGCUGCUUUUCAGCUGAAGUUGUUAAAAGCAAUGCUUGUUCUUGGCCCCACCAGCUUGCCCUCCAAGACAGAACGUGCUAAUCCGGAGGCCCCGCAAAGGUUCAAAUUGACUUCUUGGCUCCGAGGCGGAAGGCAGUUCCUGGCCGCAGCCCCCCAACCCCCAGGCUCAAGGUGGCUGCCAGGCCACUCUCACCUGGCCUAGAAAUCAAGUCCUGAGACCCCUCCCACCCCUGCACUUCUCCCCCUCCCACCACAGGUGCUGUCAGGACAGGCCCUCUGCCCUCAAACAUCUGUUCCUCUCCUCGGGCAGGAGCCAGGCCUCAGAAGCCUGUUCUCCUUUGAAGCUGACAGCUUGAUGCCUGUGAAAAUGCAGUCCUAUUUCAGCAUUUCAUUUUAAAGAGAUUUCAAAGGAGUGGCUGGAAGGCUCAGUGGAAUCGCUUAUUACAGCUCCUCUCCCAGCCCGAGGCUCAGUGGCUGAGCACGUCAUUGUCAUCAGCAGGCAGGUGACUGUUCUAAAUUAGCACCUGGCUCAUUCUGGAGGGUUCUAAUUCUUCCUGAGCUUCUUCCAAGAAAAACAUUCAUGGCUUAAAUCUUCUUAUACCUUGCCUGAAUUAUCUGUUUGAAAUGAUCCACCCAGCAGGUGAAUUUAUAUGUCGUCUCCAAGACUCUUGUUUCUGUCCGGCACAUUUUAAAGACACACAUGUGAAGGCUAUGAAAACGUGACCCCCCCAGACCUGGGAGGCUGCGCCCAAUGGAGCCUCAGGGGCAAAGGAAGCAAACCAGCUUGCGAGGGAAGAGUUGUUCUGGUCAGUGGCUGUUGUCCUGCGUGUCCCUCCAGCCCCACCACCACUGUGGCCCGCCAGGAUGGGGAGGGAAUGGGGUGGCCCCAGGGGGCAAGGGCCUGGUGCCAUGCUUGCUCAUGUGCCGCCCUCGUAGUCUCUGAGAUCUGCCCCUCAAAUGCAAGAAACGCAUAAGUCCAUAGGAAGAUGAUAGGGAGACCCUGGGGAUUUUUCUACCUAACUACUCUGCACCUCUGCAAGGGGAGCAUCAUGGUUUGGAAGAAAUGGAAACAAAGGCAUGGCACGGAAGUCCCCUGUGGCCAGAGCCUGCACACCAAGAUGGGAGUGCUGAGACUCUUCUAGACUGCAAAGGGUUUGGCUCAGCCCGAAGAGGACUCUGCCAGGAAGCUGUCAGGCGUCUGAGGCCACCUGCCUCUCCUCUGCUUCAGGAAUAGCCAGCAAUAUUGCCAUCUUGGCUCUGAGGGGCACUGGGCAUCACGAUGC
This is a long non-coding RNA of Callithrix jacchus (white-tufted-ear marmoset), 2637 nucleotides long. NCBI's taxonomy places the organism in Eukaryota, Metazoa, Chordata, Mammalia, Primates, Cebidae. The record is from Ensembl.